UACGGAGGGUGCAAGCGUUGCUCGGAAUCACUGGGCGUAAAGCGACCGCAGGCGGCCUGACAAGUCGGAUGUGAAAGCCCUGGGCUCAACUCAGGAAUUGCAUUCGAAACUGGCAGGCUCGAGUACGGGAGAGGGGGGUGGAAUUCCUGGUGUAGGGGUGAAAUUCGUUGAUAUCAGGAGGAACACCGGCGGCGAAGGCAGCUCGCUGGGACGGUACUGACGCUGAGGCGCGAAAGCGUGGGGAGCAAACAGG
RNAcentral lists this ribosomal RNA (253 nucleotides) under uncultured bacterium. Its description in RNAcentral is "partial 16S ribosomal RNA". It matches the Rfam family "Bacterial small subunit ribosomal RNA", at positions 524 to 776 of the family's 1533-position model. The record is from RNAcentral.